AUCGAUUAUCUGCCCUCAGGACGGGAAUAGCGGCGGGAAACUGCCGGUAAUGCCCGAUAAUGUCUCCGGACCAAAGGUGUGAGUCCGCCUGGGGAUGAGUCGAUAUCCUAUUAGCUUGUUGGCGGGGUAAUGGCCCACCAAGGCGAUGAUGGGUAGCGGGUGUGAGAGCACGACCCGCGUCAUUGGGACUGAGACACUGCCCAGACACCUACGGGUGGCUGCAGUCGAGAAUCUUCGGCAAUGGACGCAAGUCUGACCGAGCGACGCCGCGUGCGGGAUGAAGGCCUUCGGGUUGUAAACCGCUGUCAGUGGGGAGGAAGGCGCUGUGAAGAGCAGUGUUUGACCUAUCCGCAGAGGAAGUGUGGGCUAAGUUCGUGCCAGCAGCCGCGGUAAGACGAACCACACAAACGUUAUUCGGAAUUACUGGGCUUAAAGGGUGCGUAGGCGGCGUGGAAAGUUGGGUGUGAAAUCCCUCAGCUUAACUGAGGAACAGCGCCCAAAACUACCAUGCUC
RNAcentral lists this ribosomal RNA (513 nucleotides) under uncultured Planctomycetota bacterium. Its description in RNAcentral is "bacterial SSU rRNA". It matches the Rfam family "Bacterial small subunit ribosomal RNA", at positions 117 to 643 of the family's 1533-position model. The record is from RNAcentral. Lineage: Bacteria; Pseudomonadati; Planctomycetota.